AGCAGUAAGGUAAAUUUGCUCCAGAAUUGUUUGAGGGAAAAAUAGUGUUAAUCUUAUCAAAGAUUCCAAAAUGAUUACCAUGUUAUCUUUGUGAAAAUGGCAUGUAUGCCAUUUUUCUUUUGUCUAUACUUUCUGAAAAUUGGUAUUAUCUGUAAAAUGUUGAUACCAGCAACUCAUUAGUUGUGCGCUACUCUGUUAGGAGUCGCAUAUUAAGACUGAGAAGCAUCAUUAAUUCCGUUGCUGUUUUCAUUUGUUGACAAUGUAGCAUAACCCAGAUGCAAGAAUUGGCUUCUCUUUCACAGAUGUGUUCUGAUUUAGACAGGAAAGAUUUUCCUUGGAUGUGGCAUAUUUUGUCAACAGAGUAUUAGAGAAGGAUCCCAUAAAACGGAGGUAAAGGGGGGGUUUGUGUUCUACAAAUCAAGAGACAUCCAUUCUUCUAGUUAUAAUACUAUAAGAUUGAUCAUGACUGAGCGAGAGGCGUCAAAUACCCCGAAAAUGACCAUACUUUAGAAUGACCUGUACUCACCAAACCAGUAAAAACAAGGAUCCAGACAUAAAGACAACAGCUGCGGGUGAUGCCCUCAAGUUAAGUGCAGAGGCAACAGUGGACAUUGGUCGUACCAUCCACUGUGAACCCUGAGAAGGAUGAGUUUUCUUGCCUUGGGAAGAUCCAGAUCAUGACCUGAGAGGGCAGCCACGUAUGGAGGUUCGUCAUCCCCGGGGAAUACCUCGCUAAUGGCACCCUCAGGAAAU
Molecule: non-coding RNA, 753 nt
Organism: Zootermopsis nevadensis
Lineage: Eukaryota; Metazoa; Arthropoda; Insecta; Blattodea; Termopsidae
Source: RefSeq, a predicted model, not a curated record